GGGGUUGUAGCUCAGUGGUGGAGCACUUGCCUAGCCAUGUACAAGAGGCCCUGGGUUUGAUCCUCAGCACUACA
RNAcentral lists this transfer RNA (74 nucleotides) under Marmota monax (woodchuck). RNAcentral's name for it is "tRNA.Ala". The record is from RNAcentral. Lineage: Eukaryota; Metazoa; Chordata; Mammalia; Rodentia; Sciuridae.